CUAUACAUGCAGUCGAGCGAUGAUUGAAGAUAGCUUGCUAUUUUCAUGAAGAGCGGCGAACGGGUGAGUAACGCGUGGGAAAUCUGCCGAGUAGCGGGGGACAACGUUUGGAAACGAACGCUAAUACCGCAUAACAAUGAGAAUCGCAUGAUUCUUAUUUGAAAGAAGCAAUUGCUUCACUACUUGAUGAUCCCGCGUUGUAUUAGCUAGUUGGUAGUGUAAAGGACUACCAAGGCGAUGAUACAUAGCCGACCUGAGAGGGUGAUCGGCCACACUGGGACUGAGACACGGCCCAGACUCCUACGGGAGGCAGCAGUAGGGAAUCUUCGGCAAUGGGGGCAACCCUGACCGAGCAACGCCGCGUGAGUGAAGAAGGUUUUCGGAUCGUAAAACUCUGUUGUUAGAGAAGAACGUUAAGUAGAGUGGAAAAUUACUUAAGUGACGGUAUCUAACCAGAAAGGGACGGCUAACUACGUGCCAGCAGCCGCGGUAAUACGUAGGUCCCAAGCGUUGUCCGGAUUUAUUGGGCGUAAAGCGAGCGCAGGUGGUUUCUUAAGUCUGAUGUAAAAGGCAGUGGCUCAACCAUUGUGUGCAUUGGAAACUGGGAGACUUGAGUGCAGGAGAGGAGAGUGGAAUUCCAUGUGUAGCGGUGAAAUGCGUAGAUAUAUGGAGGAACACCGGAGGCGA
RNAcentral lists this ribosomal RNA (687 nucleotides) under Lactococcus garvieae. RNAcentral's name for it is "bacterial SSU rRNA". It matches the Rfam family "Bacterial small subunit ribosomal RNA", at positions 49 to 718 of the family's 1533-position model. The record is from RNAcentral. Lineage: Bacteria; Bacillati; Bacillota; Bacilli; Lactobacillales; Streptococcaceae.